RNAcentral lists this long non-coding RNA (232 nucleotides) under Helianthus annuus (common sunflower). RNAcentral describes it as "hypothetical non coding rna". The record is from RNAcentral. Lineage: Eukaryota; Viridiplantae; Streptophyta; Magnoliopsida; Asterales; Asteraceae.
UGUUCUUCCUCACUGAUUCCAACAAUGUCCAUUGCUCUUCUUGUAGCAAGAUAUUCAUGUGCAUCGCUUACACCCUCGAGCUCAAAUGAUUUUGACUGAUUUAAGUAAUGGUGGUGCAGCACAAAGAAGAUAAAAACAAUGGUAGUUUCUUUCGGGAUCAGAUAUCUGACAAACACGCGAUCUCUCAAGCAGAUAAGUUCUAAUAGCCGCCCCCGAUAUCCUCCCACUUUUA